Molecule: long non-coding RNA, 535 nt
Organism: Trachymyrmex septentrionalis
Lineage: Eukaryota; Metazoa; Arthropoda; Insecta; Hymenoptera; Formicidae
Exons: 4
Source: RefSeq, a predicted model, not a curated record
AAUCGGCACACGGUCGCGCUUAUGAUCCACAACGCAUGAAGCUGUUACAAAAGCUCGAUCUGCUAGAAUAUAGCGAAGAAUCUAUACAAGACUCAUGAGUGUUACAUAGUAAGAAAAGUAAUUGGGAAGAAUGUAUUAUCCAAGAAAUUAUCGAUAAGAAUGAUGUAAACCUGAUGUCAUUGUUAACACAAAGAAUAAUGGAAAAUUAAUGGAAGAUGUUGCAAUACCUGGUGUCCCUGUUACUCCACCGCAUCAUAAAAAAAAAAUUAAGGCAUACCGAACGAUCUUGCUCCCUCUGCAGAAGCACUUGUUUCCCCAUCGCCGCUUCCAAGUUCAACAAGUACUAUAGAAUUGAUUAUGAGAGAAUUCGAGUACUCUUGAUAUCUGAUCUGCGAUGAAAGAUCAAUACGUCGUUGGAGAGGGUCUCCUACAUUAAGAGACCGAAAAAAUGGUGAUUCUUCAUAAUUUUUUUUUAAAGGAAGACUAAUAUUUAUUGUUUUAAAACUUUUUACACAUUUUAACAUAACUAUUGUGA